AUAAGUCGUGGAUGGUGCAUCAAAAACUCUUUCGCAUGUUGCCAUCUUUGAACCUGCAUCUAAAGAAAACAGGUUAUCAUCAAUUUCUAGAUAUGUUAAUCAGUGUUUGACCCCCAGACAGUGUUAAUUGGUAUGCAAAUACCCUGGAGCCAGUCUAAACAUGAUGGCGUCUGGUCUGUUACCUGUAUGGAUGGUGAUUCAAUUUCUUCUAAAAAUAAGCUUGAAUCAACCCUUACUGAAUGUGCUUUGCAAUAUUACAUGGAAUGCAAAAGGUACAUUCUACCUUUCCUAUGAAGCUAAGGCAGCUGAAGAUUGAUAUGUGCAAUAUGCAGAUGAUAGGCCAGCUAUAUCCCAAAAACGAAAGUGAAUAGUCUUGGCAAAUUAACAGGAACUUUUGAAUAAUAUUCUUGUUCAAGUUGGAUUAUGAGACGUUAAUAUUGGGAUUUACUCUCAACAGGAAAAAUAUCAAGGUCCUUCUUAGAAAUUGAAAACAAAUCCAUGAAGAUAGUCUUUCAUGUAACUACUACAUACGUGUAUCAAGAAAAACAUAUUCUACUUUUGAUUCAAAAUAACUCAUUUGUUUUAACGUAGACAAAAUGCAGGAAAUACUUUGCCGUGUCUUGGGUACAUGACCACGAACGGAAUCUGAAAAUAUUUUCUUCCGAAACAAAGGCACUAUAAAAAAUCAAAAGUUAGACGAUGUUUUAAUUGACAUGUAAGUCAUCCACGCGUCUUCUCUUCCCGAUACGAAUGUCAUUCGAACCCGAGUUUAUAAUUUAUUUUUCCUGUAACCUUCUUCUUUCUUCUGUAUGUUUUUAAAGUGAAUUAAUAAACGUUAUA
Long non-coding RNA from Lineus longissimus, 840 nucleotides. RefSeq lists it as uncharacterized. The record is from RefSeq and is a predicted model, not a curated record. The transcript has 3 exons. Lineage: Eukaryota; Metazoa; Nemertea; Pilidiophora; Heteronemertea; Lineidae.